Molecule: non-coding RNA, 457 nt
Filed under: Bacillus sp. SA1-12
Lineage: Bacteria; Bacillati; Bacillota; Bacilli; Caryophanales; Bacillaceae
Description: bacterial LSU rRNA
Rfam family: Bacterial large subunit ribosomal RNA
Source: RNAcentral
GAAUGCCGGUAUGAGUAGCGAAAGAGGGGUGAGAAUCCCCUCCACCGAAUGCCUAAGGUUUCCUGAGGAAGGCUCGUCCGCUCAGGGUUAGUCGGGACCUAAGCCGAGGCCGAAAGGCGUAGGCGAUGGCCAACAGGUUGAAAUUCCUGUACCACCUCCUCACCGUUUGAGCAAUGGGGGGACGCAGAAGGAUAGGGUAAGCGCGCUGUUGGAUUAGCGCGUCCAAGCAGUUAGGCUGACAACGAGGUAAAUCCCGUUGUCACAAAAGCUGAGCUGUGACGGCGAGGAAACUAUAGUACCGAAGUUCCUGAUUCCACACUGCCAAGAAAAGCCUCUAGCGAGGUGUGAGGUGCCCGUACCGCAAACCGACACAGGUAGGCGAGGAGAGAAUCCUAAGGUGAGCGAGAGAACUCUCGUUAAGGAACUCGGCAAAAUGACCCCGUAACUUCGGGAGAAG